GCGCCCGUAGCUCAGCCCGGAUAGAGCGUCGGACUUCGAAUCCGCAGGUCGCAGGUUCGAAUCCUGCCGGGCGCGCCA
RNAcentral lists this transfer RNA (78 nucleotides) under Deltaproteobacteria bacterium. RNAcentral describes it as "tRNA-Arg". It matches the Rfam family "tRNA". Rfam says of the family: Transfer RNA (tRNA) molecules are approximately 80 nucleotides in length. Their secondary structure includes four short double-helical elements and three loops (D, anti-codon, and T loops). Further hydrogen bonds mediate the characteristic L-shaped molecular structure. tRNAs have two regions of fundamental functional importance: the anti-codon, which is responsible for specific mRNA codon recognition, and the 3' end, to which the tRNAs corresponding amino acid is attached (by aminoacyl-tRNA synthetases). tRNAs cope with the degeneracy of the genetic code in two manners: having more than one tRNA (with a specific anti-codon) for a particular amino acid; and 'wobble' base-pairing, i.e. permitting non-standard base-pairing at the 3rd anti-codon position. Lineage: Bacteria; Pseudomonadati; Myxococcota; Myxococcia. RNAcentral also lists the same sequence under 5 other names. The record is from RNAcentral.